GCCGUCCACGCUCCACCCACCUCCCUCCUCCUCUCUCUCCUUGCGCGAUGCAGACCACGCCGCCACGAUCCAGAUCAAGCCGAGGGCGCGGCACGAAAAAUGUUAGCGCCAACAUUUGGCCCAACUGGCGCGCAGUUUUCAUUUUCCUCCCAAACCAGUAAUAAUAAGUCUCCACCGCCGCCAAAACUGAACCCUAAAUCCCCAAAUCCACCAAGCACCCGCCGCUCCGAGCUCUCCCGGCCGCCUCUCGACCACGCCUGCGCCGCUCGAAUUGGGCACCGCCGCAACACCGUCCUGCCGGCCCCCAAGCGCUCGAGCUCUCUCCCCCGCCCGACUUCGGUCGGCGGCGGCGCUACCGGUCCGGCAAGCACGACCUGCCCCGACUCGCUCGGCUCGCCCGCGCUGCAACGCCUUCCUGGCGCCACCAUGCGCUCGACCUCGCCGGCUGGCGCCAGCGCUCGCAUCCGGUAGCGAACUGAGAGCCCUGCCGUUCGGAAGUUGCCGCUAUCGCUGCUCACAUCCAGCUGCAGCUCGUGGUGAUUUUCAUCUACGCCAAACCCAGUGAGGUUUCUUGCUCCCAGCGACUCACUCCCAGGGAUGAGACAACGACACCCCCUCCCUGGUUGUCACUGUUUUCAGGAUUCUUGUUCCCGGCGACUCAAGAGUUCAUUGCUGUGGCGCAAAAAUCGCCAUCCCUGCUUAUCACUGCCUCCCCACUAGUUGGCGUGUGGAGCUCGAGGGGCAGCCAGCGCCGGCCUCGUCGGCGAUCAUGUCGGACGGAAGCCGCACAGGGUGGCCUCCUUCCGCGUCCCCUCAAUCCUGCAGGCCGCCCAAACUCGCUGUUCCCAGCCACAAGCACGGCGGCUUCCUCUGCCCCGACCACCGUCGACCUGGUCCUUGGGCCAUCCGCAAGCGCAUCUUGGUAGUUAACUCAUCCGCUGGUUAGCGAAGAUUGCAAAAUGUUUACUAUUGCGAAACCCCAAAACUACAUGGUCGUGCUUAUUUGUCCUUCUGAAUCCAAUUGUCAUAGCUCGACAACAGUUUGAAAGGCAGACUUGGAAACACUCACACUUCCCUUUCCUUUGUCUAUGCUUGGUCUGUCAUGGAAGUAAAAUUGCAGAAUAGCCCAUCAUGAUUGGGGUGAGUUUAUAAGAUUUCGCCGGAUUGGCUGCACAUUGGAGAAGACUAUGGGUAUUCGUUUCAAAAUCUCACCAGGUACUAGCUGAAUGUAAGGUUGCUGUCAAGAGGAAUUUGUUGAGAGGAUCAUGGCUGCAUGCAAGCAAGCUGAUAUUUUGUUGUUAGAUGCUUAGAUGCUUGAAAUACUAGUAUGAUGUCAAGCGUUCAUAAGUUUUGGGGACCUGAUGUAGUCUUAGGCUGUAACUCUAUGUGUUUGUAAAUUUUUUUUGUGAAUAUCUGUCGGUUAUAUGUU
Molecule: long non-coding RNA, 1429 nt
Organism: Lolium perenne
Lineage: Eukaryota; Viridiplantae; Streptophyta; Magnoliopsida; Poales; Poaceae
Source: RefSeq, a predicted model, not a curated record